GACGAACGCUGGCGGCGUGCUUAACACAUGCAAGUCGAGCGGUAAGGCCCUUCGGGGUACACGAGCGGCGAACGGGUGAGUAACACGUGAGUAAUCUGCCCAUCACUUCGGGAUAACUCCGGGAAACCGGUGCUAAUACCGAAUAUGACCACUUCAGGCAUCUGAUGGUGGUGGAAAGUUCCGGCGGUGAUGGAUGAGCUCGCGGCCUAUCAGCUUGUUGGUGGGGUAGUGGCCUACCAAGGCUUCGACGGGUAGCCGGCCUGAGAGGGUGACCGGCCACACUGGGACUGAGAAACGGCCCAGACUCCUACGGGAGGCAGCAGUGGGGAAUAUUGGACAAUGGGCGAAAGCCUGAUCCAGCAACGCCGCGUGAGGGAUGACGGCCUUCGGGUUGUAAACCUCUUUCAGCAGGGACGAAGCGAAAGUGACGGUACCUGCAGAAGAAGCACCGGCCAACUACGUG
RNAcentral lists this ribosomal RNA (463 nucleotides) under uncultured bacterium. RNAcentral describes it as "partial 16S ribosomal RNA". It matches the Rfam family "Bacterial small subunit ribosomal RNA", at positions 28 to 507 of the family's 1533-position model. The record is from RNAcentral.